GACGAACGCUGGCGGCGUGCUUAACACAUGCAAGUCGAACGGAAAGGCCCUGCUUUUGUGGGGUGCUCGAGUGGCGAACGGGUGAGUAACACGUGAGUAACCUGCCCUUGACUUUGGGAUAACUUCAGGAAACUGGGGCUAAUACCGGAUAGGAGCUCCUGCUGCAUGGUGGGGGUUGGAAAGUUUCGGCGGUUGGGGAUGGACUCGCGGCUUAUCAGCUUGUUGGUGGGGUAGUGGCUUACCAGGGCUUUGACGGGUAGCCAGCCUGAGAGGGUGACCGGCCACAUUGGGACUGAGAUACGGCCCAGACUCCUACGGGAGGCAGCAGUGGGGAAUAUUGCACAAUGGGCGGAAGCCUGAUGCAGCAACGCCGCGUGCGGGAUGACGGCCUUCGGGUUGUAAACCGCUUUCGCCUGUGACGAAGCGUGAGUGACGGUAAUGGGUAAAGAAGCACCGGCUAACUACGUG
This 468-nucleotide ribosomal RNA is filed under the name uncultured bacterium. Its description in RNAcentral is "partial 16S ribosomal RNA". It matches the Rfam family "Bacterial small subunit ribosomal RNA", at positions 28 to 507 of the family's 1533-position model. The record is from RNAcentral.